UCAAAAACAUGGCCUUUUGAUAAUAAUUUAAGGUCAGGCCUGCCCACUGAAAUUUAAAGGGCCGCGGUAAUUUGACCGUGCUAAGGUAGCAUAAUCAUUAGUUUCUUAAUUAGAAGCUAGAAUGAAGGGUUUGAUGAAAAAAUUACUGUCUCUAUUUAAUAAAUAUAGAACUUUAUUUUUAAGUUAGAAAGCUUAAAUUUAUUUAAAAGACGAGAAGACCCUAUAGAGUUUAAUAUUUUAAAAUUAAUAUUUUAUUGGAAUAAUAAUUUUUUAUUUUGAGAAAUAUUUGAUUGGGGUGAUUGAAAAAUUUAAUAAACUUUUUUUUAUUAUUAACCAUUGAUUUAUGAAUAUUUGAUCCAUUAUUAGUGAUUAUAAGAAAAAAUUACCUUAGGGAUAACAGCGUUAUUUUUUUUGAGAGUUCUUAUCGAAAGAAAAGAUUGCGACCUCGAUGUUGGAUUAAAAUUUAAUUUUGGUGUAGCAGCUAAAAAUAUUAGGUCUGUUCGACCUUUAAAAUUUUACAUGAUCUGA
Molecule: ribosomal RNA, 528 nt
Filed under: Spermophagus kuesteri
Lineage: Eukaryota; Metazoa; Arthropoda; Insecta; Coleoptera; Chrysomelidae
Description: partial 16S ribosomal RNA
Rfam family: Bacterial large subunit ribosomal RNA
Source: RNAcentral